Molecule: long non-coding RNA, 1286 nt
Filed under: Anser cygnoides (Swan goose)
Lineage: Eukaryota; Metazoa; Chordata; Aves; Anseriformes; Anatidae
Description: lncRNA (ENSACDG00005000738.1)
Source: RNAcentral
GGAACGGGCUGCUGGGGAGAGGCUGAACGCCCUGCCUGCAGGGCAGCACGCAGCUUUGUGGGCUGCAAACAGAAAACCAAAAUGCUACUGGGAACGGCAGGGAAAACAGCAAGGGAUCGACAGCAAGGAAGGGCCAGGAUGAUGUUGCCAGCUACUGUGUUUAAAAAAGUCCAUAACUGCAUUAAAAAGUCCAUACCUGUGUUUUCCAAAGGGAGUGCAGACAGUACCGAAGGCACCGCCAAGCCCAGUGAGGUGCCGGUACCUCGCUGCCUGCUGUUGAACUGUAGGGCAGGGGCUCCUAAACCACCCGGCAGACCUUCCAACAUAACUUCUGCACCUGGAAACACCCAGACCCUGGAAGCGGUCCAGAGCCCAGGGAAGCUGAUGGAAUUGCUUGUGCUGGAUUUGGGAGCAACGGGCCAGCUUGGCGGUCCUUCGCUCUUUUGAUGUGCAGUAUUUGUUGUCGUUAGGAGGGACGUUUGAAAGAACAAGCUCAGUUCAGACAGAACCUGGCCUUAGUGUCGGUGAGGACACCUUCGGAGUAUUCCCUGUCGCUGGCCAAAAAACUCAUCACAGGCAAGGCAGCCUGAGCCCAUUGUGAGCAAAGCCGUGGGAGGCGCUCCCUGGGGCACGAGGAGCAGGGCCAGCAGCACCCGCAUGGCAGGGACGACAGGCGCACCAGUCCUGCUGUCGGUGGAGGAAGACUGGCGGUCAUGGGCGAUGCAAAGGGAACCCGGCUAUGGAUCUGCGGCAAUUUGAGUAAUAAGGCUAAUCAAAAGACCAUGGCACAAGCGAUUUGCCACAAUUCCAGAUGUAAUGAGGCUGCUUGUGCAAGGCGCCAGCCCAGCGUGCAACGAGGGGGAACGAAGCAUCCAGAGCCCUCUGCAUCUACAGCCUGGUUGCAACCACAAAUGAGCCCAGCGGGGUUUUUCCUCUCCGAGUUUCCCUGCUGCAGGGGACCCAGCUACCUUUUAUUUAGCAGCGAGAAGGAAGCCAUGGCUGAGCCUUCCUGCAUCAGGAAGGAGGGGUCAGGGUCAGCCCCACGCAGCUGUGCCUGUCCCAGUUUCCCUGGCAGAGACCUCAGCACCUCUGCCACCCUCAGCAGGUUUUUAAACUCAGCACUAGCAGCCUUAUGCUAGUAAAUGGGUUGAAUAGUGUAUGAAGAAAAAAAAAAAAAAAGGAUUGAUUUUUAAGAGGUUGCUGGAGAAGACUUUGAAGGAGGAGAAAAGGAAAAAAAAUAGUGGGCAUUUAUCCAAAUAAAUGCUGAACUUCCCAUUUUGUUUGCA